GAAAGGCUCACAAGAACUGCUAACUCCUACCACUGAUGCUAACCCAUCAGACCUUUCC
This 58-nucleotide transfer RNA is filed under the name Chamaeleo namaquensis. Its description in RNAcentral is "tRNA-Ser". Lineage: Eukaryota; Metazoa; Chordata; Lepidosauria; Squamata; Chamaeleonidae. The record is from RNAcentral.